Molecule: ribosomal RNA, 496 nt
Filed under: uncultured bacterium
Lineage: Bacteria
Description: bacterial SSU rRNA
Rfam family: Bacterial small subunit ribosomal RNA
Source: RNAcentral
AAAUGAAUAGACGGGGGCCCGCACAAGCGGAGGAGCAUGUGGUUUAAUUCGAUGAUACGCGAGGAACCUUACCUGGGUUAGAACGUAAAUUUGAUAUUUAGGAAACUAGAUAGUCUGUUAAAGGAAGAUUUACGAGGUGCUGCAUGGUUGUCGUCAGCUCGUGCCGUGAGGUGUCAGGUUAAGUCCUAUAACGAGCGCAACCCCUACACUUAGUUACCAGCACGUUAUGGUGGGGACUCUAUGUGGACUGCCUGCGUAAGCAGAGAGGAAGGUGGGGAUGACGUCAAAUCAGCACGGCCCUUACGUCCAGGGCGACACACGUGCUACAAUGGCAAGUACAGAGGGCAGCUACUCAGUGAUGAGAUGCCAAUCUCAAAAGCUUGUCUCAGUUCGGAUUGGAGUCUGCAACCCGACUCCAUGAAGUUGGAUUCGCUAGUAAUCGCAGAUCAGCCAUGCUGCGGUGAAUACGUUCCCGGGCCUUGUACACACCGCCCGU